Gallus gallus (chicken) is the source of this 633-nucleotide long non-coding RNA. RefSeq lists it as uncharacterized. The transcript is spliced from 4 exons. NCBI's taxonomy places the organism in Eukaryota, Metazoa, Chordata, Aves, Galliformes, Phasianidae. The record is from RefSeq and is a predicted model, not a curated record.
AGACUAGAGCAGUGACAGCUAAGAUAAAACAUUUUCCCAAAAUCUGCCCUCUUCUACCUCCUCCCACAGAGCAGCACAAGGGAAUGCGGCUGCGGUCAGAACCCCACUACUGAACCCUUGCUACCUUUUGUUCCCCAUCCUGCAGCAGUCCGGGAGUACCAGGAAGGAGAUUUCUUUCAGAUCUGACUCAGCACGACCACACACCCCUGGAGCACUCCUGUUCAACUUCAGUCACUCACGUAUGAAGUCCUCAUAUCCUCACUGGAACAAAUGAGCGUGAGCUGUACCCUCUGAAGCCCCUCACCUUGCAGUGUACUGAAUAAGGACUGAAAGGUCAGAAGAAAGCAAAAAAGGUCGAGAUGAUUGCAGCUGCAGGAUAUACACCUUCCUGCUCUGGCCUUUGGCGCAGACAACCUGUGUUUAGUUAGUGCUUGCAAAUAAUGGAAUGAGCAUUUACAGAUGUUUUUGAAAAUAAGGUUUUGUAACUAACAAACAAUGAAAAAAGCAGUCUGUUGCAUCACUAAGAUUAAUGUGUACACUGAUAUGGUCAAUGCUCACAUACAUAAGGUAAGUGUUAAAACACAGGUAUCUUCUAUUGUUUGUACAGAUGGUUAGUGUCUCAAAGCAGGCUCU